GACGAACGCUGGCGGCGUGCUUAACACAUGCAAGUCGAGCGGUAAGGCCCUUCGGGGUACACGAGCGGCGAACGGGUGAGUAACACGUGAGUAAUCUGCCCAUCACUUCGGGAUAACUCCGGGAAACCGGUGCUAAUACCGAAUAUGACCACUUCAGGCAUCUGAUGGUGGUGGAAAGUUCCGGCGGUGAUGGAUGAGCUCGCGGCCUAUCAGCUUGUUGGUGGGGUAGUGGCCUACCAGGGCUUCGACGGGUAGCCGGCCUGAGAGGGUGACCGGCCACACUGGGACUGAGACACGGCCCAGACUCCUACGGGAGGCAGCAGUGGGGAAUAUUGGACAAUGGGCGAAAGCCUGAUCCAGCAACGCCGCGUGAGGGAUGACGGCCUUCGGGUUGUAAACCUCUUUCAGCAGGGACGAAGCGCAAGUGACGGUACCUGCAGAAGAAGCACCGGCCAACUACGUG
Molecule: ribosomal RNA, 463 nt
Filed under: uncultured bacterium
Lineage: Bacteria
Description: partial 16S ribosomal RNA
Rfam family: Bacterial small subunit ribosomal RNA
Source: RNAcentral